RNAcentral lists this long non-coding RNA (539 nucleotides) under Anser brachyrhynchus (Pink-footed goose). RNAcentral describes it as "lncRNA (ENSABRG00000013043.1)". The record is from RNAcentral. Lineage: Eukaryota; Metazoa; Chordata; Aves; Anseriformes; Anatidae.
UUUGCAUCCCACAUGGGCUUUGAGAGAAGUACUGGGUAUAUCUCUACAUCUUGUUUACUGUCACUCUGCACUAAGCUGUUACUUCAAAGCAUUUGCCUUGAAUAAUCACAAUCAGUAAACUGCAUAACAGCUUUGUUAAAUACACUGCCUCUAUCCUUACACUAUGGGUCUGGGAAAAAAAGAAACAGGACUCAGGUAGAGGACAGAUACUUUCAGAAGGUUCCCACCCCAGCCCGAAUCUGUGCUCACUGCCUGCACGCUGCCUUUUCUGCAAUACUGGUCCUGCAGCCUGCAUGUGCCUGGGCCAAGUGCUCCUACCUGUCUUCACACUAUGCAGAUAAAUCCAUGCAAAGUUUUCCUGGCUGAUGCAAAAACUAUCAUCGUGAUUCCCCAAGGCAAGCAUAUGUGCUCUCUGGAUUUGUUAUUGCAUUGACAACACUGAUUAUCCACAGAAAAGGACGGAUUCAGACACAAAGUCAGAUAUCAAAACUGCAAUACUAAAGUAUAAGGGUGAAAAUUAUGUGUUGUUGUUGUUUUUC